UUGCCUCUGAAGGAGGGGAAUAUUGUUGUAUGUAUUACUCCUUGGACUGCUUCUAUUGGGGCAAAAGGUGUUAUGGAAAAAGCAUGGAUUAGGAUACACAACAUUCCCAUAGAGAAAAGAUGCAAUGAACAUAUAGCUUAUGCUGGAGCUCUAGUUGGGAUUACUUUGGAAGUUGAUGAAUCGACUGUUCAUAAACCUGAAUAUGCUAGAAUCCUUCUCGGUUGUAGAGAG
Molecule: ribosomal RNA, 231 nt
Filed under: Triticum aestivum (bread wheat)
Lineage: Eukaryota; Viridiplantae; Streptophyta; Magnoliopsida; Poales; Poaceae
Description: partial small subunit ribosomal RNA
Source: RNAcentral